RNAcentral lists this ribosomal RNA (253 nucleotides) under uncultured bacterium. Its description in RNAcentral is "partial 16S ribosomal RNA". It matches the Rfam family "Bacterial small subunit ribosomal RNA", at positions 524 to 776 of the family's 1533-position model. The record is from RNAcentral.
GACAGAGGGUGCAAACGUUGUUCGGAAUUACUGGGCGUAAAGCGCGUGUAGGCGGCUAAGCAAGUCGGGCGUGAAAUCCCACCGCUCAACGGUGGAAGUGCACCCGAAACUGCAUAGCUAGAGUCCUGGAGAGGAAGGUGGAAUGCUUGGUGUAGAGGUGAAAUUCGUAGAUAUCAAGCGGAACACCGGUGGCGAAGGCGGCCUUCUGGACAGUGACUGACGCUGAGACGUGAAAGCGUGGGGAGCAAACAGG